Molecule: long non-coding RNA, 406 nt
Organism: Colossoma macropomum (tambaqui)
Lineage: Eukaryota; Metazoa; Chordata; Actinopteri; Characiformes; Serrasalmidae
Exons: 4
Source: RefSeq, a predicted model, not a curated record
CUUCUGUUGAACUUCAUGAUGGUUCCUCACAGGUUCUUUGUGCUGUCUUUUCUGCUGGUGCUCAUCUCUCAUGCGUUCGGGUCUCCGGUUGAACGGGAGCUGGUACGUGAGGAUGGGCUCCUACUGGUCAGAGACUACAGAGAUACCCAUAAUACCUUGGGGGAGAAGAAGCUGAUGCUCUGGGAUGGAGAUGAAGGUUCUGGAGCUUCUGCAGGAGUGGUGGAGAUGAAGGGCAGGUGAAAAGAGCUCAGCUGUCCAAGAGUCGACUUCUAUCAACGUCCCACAAUCCUGCAGCGUCUGCGUGUGGUGGUCAGUCAGUGCAUGAGCUCAUGGCUCCAUGAGCUCUUGGCUCCACCAGCUCAACACCUCCACACUUCAUUUCUGAAUAAACUUCAGGCAUUCCUCA